RNAcentral lists this ribosomal RNA (449 nucleotides) under uncultured bacterium. RNAcentral's name for it is "partial 16S ribosomal RNA". It matches the Rfam family "Bacterial small subunit ribosomal RNA", at positions 29 to 523 of the family's 1533-position model. The record is from RNAcentral.
AACGAACGCUGGCGGCAUGCCUAACACAUGCAAGUCGAACGAAGCCUUCGGGCUUAGUGGCGCACGGGUGCGUAACGCGUGGGAAUCUGCCCUUUGGUUCGGAAUAACAGUUGGAAACGACUGCUAAUACCGGAUGAUGACGAAAGUCCAAAGAUUUAUCGCCAGGGGAUGAGCCCGCGUAGGAUUAGCUAGUUGGUGUGGUAAAGGCGCACCAAGGCGACGAUCCUUAGCUGGUCUGAGAGGAUGAUCAGCCACACUGGGACUGAGACACGGCCCAGACUCCUACGGGAGGCAGCAGUGGGGAAUAUUGGACAAUGGGCGAAAGCCUGAUCCAGCAAUGCCGCGUGAGUGAUGAAGGCCCUAGGGUUGUAAAGCUCUUUUACCCGGGAUGAUAAUGACAGUACCGGGAGAAUAAGCCCCGGCUAACUCCGUGCCAGCAGCCGCCGUAA